Molecule: transfer RNA, 74 nt
Filed under: Pseudomonadota bacterium
Lineage: Bacteria; Pseudomonadati; Pseudomonadota
Also listed under: 1 other name
Description: tRNA-Pro
Rfam family: tRNA
About the family: Transfer RNA (tRNA) molecules are approximately 80 nucleotides in length. Their secondary structure includes four short double-helical elements and three loops (D, anti-codon, and T loops).
Source: RNAcentral
CGGGGCGUAGCGCAGCUUGGUAGCGCGUCGGUUUUGGGAGCCGAAAGUCCCCGGUUCAAAUCCGGGCGCCCCGA